AAAAUAAACAUGUGCCUUAGUAGAGAACAGGUGGCCUGGGUGGAGACUAUAGUAGAGAACAGGUGGCCUGGGUGGAGACUAUAGUAGAGAACAGCCGGCCUGGGUGGAGACGAUAGUAGAGAACAGGUGGCCUGGGUGGAGACUAUAGUAGAGAACAGGCGGCCUGGGUGGAGACUAUAGUAGAGAACAGGUGGCCUGGGUGGAGACGAUAGUAGAGAACAGGCGGCCUGGGUGGAGACUAUAGUAGAGAACAGGCGGCCUGGGUGGAGACUAUAGUAGAGAACAGGUUGCCUGGGUGGAGACUAUAGUAGAGAACAGGUGGCCUGGGUGGAGACGAUAGUAGAGAACAGGUUGCCUGGGUGGAGACUAUAGUAGAGAACAGGUGGCCUGGGUGGAGACUAUAGUAGAGAACAGGCGGCCUGGGUGGAGACUAUAGUAGAGAACAGGUUGCCUGGGUGGAGACUAUAGUAGAGAACAGGUGGCCUGGGUGGAGACGAUAGUAGAGAACAGGUGGCCUGGGUGGAGACUAUAGUAGAGAACAGGUAGCCUGGGUGGAGACUAUAGUAGAGAACAGGCGGCCUGGGUGGAGACUAUAGUAGAGAACAGGCGGCCUGGGUGGAGACUAUAGUAGAGAACAGGCGGCCUGGGUGGAGACUAUAGUAGAGAACAGGCGGCCUGGGUGGAGACUAUAGUAGAGAACAGGUGGCCUGGGUGGAGACGAUAGUAGAGAACAGGUGGCCUGGGUGGAGACUAUAGUAGAGAACAGGUUGCCUGGGUGGAGACUAUAGUAGAGAACAGGUGGCCUGGGUGGAGACGAUAGUAGAGAACAGGUUGCCUGGGUGGAGACUAUAGUAGAGAACAGGUGGCCUGGGUGGAGACUAUAGUAGAGAACAGGCGGCCUGGGUGGAGACUAUAGUAGAGAACAGGUUGCCUGGGUGGAGACUAUAGUAGAGAACAGGUGGCCUGGGUGGAGACGAUAGUAGAGAACAGGUGGCCUGGGUGGAGACUAUAGUAGAGAACAGGUAGCCUGGGUGGAGACUAUAGUAGAGAACAGGUGGCCUGGGUGGAGACUAUAGUAGAGAACAGGUGGCCUGGGUGGAGACUAUAGUAGAGAACAGGCGGCCUGGGUGGAGACUAUAGUAGAGAACAGGUGGCCUGGGUGGAGACUAUAGUAGAGAACAGGCGGCCUGGGUGGAGACUAUAGUAGAGAACAGGUGGCCUGGGUGGAGACUAUAGUAGAGAACAGGCGGCCUGGGUGGAGACUAUAGUAGAGAACAGGCGGCCUGGGUGGAGACUAUAGUAGAGAACAGGUGGCCUGGGUGGAGACGAUAGUAGAGAACAGGUGGCCUGGGUGGAGACUAUAGUAGAGAACAGGUGGCCUGGGUGGAGACUAUAGUAGAGAACAGGUAGCCUGGGUGGAGACUAUAGUAGAGAACAGGUAGCCUGGGUGGAGACGAUAGUCCUGAGCUAACCAGCUAACUCAGGUCUGGUGCUGCUACCCAGGUCUGGUGCUGCUAACCAGCUAGCCCAGGUCUGGUGCUGCUAACCCGCUAGCCCAGGUCUGGUGCUGCUAACCAGCUAACCCAGGUCUGGUGCUGCUAACCAGCUAACCCCGGUCUGGUGCUGCUAACCAGCUAACCCAGGACUGGUGCUGCUAGCCAGCUAACCCCGAUCUGGUGCUGCUAACCAGCUAACCCAGGUCUGGUGCUGCUAACCAGCCAACCCAGGUCUGGUGCUGCUACCCAGGUCUGGUGCUGCUAACCAGCUAACCCAGGUCUGGUGCUGCUAACCAGCUAACCCAGGUCUGGUGCUGCUAACCAGCUAACCCAGGUCUGGUGCUGCUAACCAGCUAACCCAGGUCUGGUGCUGCUAACCAGCUAACCCAGGUCUGGUGCUGCUAACCAGCUAACCCAGGUCUGGUGCUGCUAACCAGCUAACCCAGGUCUGGUGCUGCUACCCAGGUCUGGUGCUGCUAACCAGCUAACCCAGGUCUGGUGCUGCUAACCAGGUCUGGUGCUGCUAACCAGCUAACCCAGGUCUGGAUAAGGAAUGGCCCACUGGAAUCUCAAUUAGAAGAAUGUUUUGAAAGGAUCGGGUCCUGAUUUAAGAGCUAGACGGUGUCAAACUUCAGUCCUUUGUGGCUCAGUUGAUCCGGGCACCUGCAACGUCAAGACGGUGAA
Long non-coding RNA from Oncorhynchus keta (chum salmon), 2180 nucleotides. RefSeq lists it as uncharacterized. The transcript has 11 exons. The record is from RefSeq and is a predicted model, not a curated record. NCBI's taxonomy places the organism in Eukaryota, Metazoa, Chordata, Actinopteri, Salmoniformes, Salmonidae.